RNAcentral lists this ribosomal RNA (440 nucleotides) under uncultured bacterium. Its description in RNAcentral is "partial 16S ribosomal RNA". It matches the Rfam family "Bacterial small subunit ribosomal RNA", at positions 338 to 795 of the family's 1533-position model. The record is from RNAcentral.
CCUACGGGGCGCAGUAGUGGGGAAUAUUGCACAAUGGGGGGAACCCUGAUGCAGCGACGCCGCGUGGGUGAGGAAGUACUUCGGUAUGUAAAGCCCUAUCAGCAGAGAAGAAAAUGACGGUACCUGACUAAGAAGCCCCGGCUAACUACGUGCCAGCAGCCGCGGUAAUACGUAGGGGGCAAGCGUUAUCAGGAUUUACUGGGUGUAAAGGGAGCGUAGACGGCGUGGCAAGUCUGGUGUGAAAGCCCGGGGCUCAACCCCGGGACUGCAUUGGAAACUGGCAUGCUGGAGUGCCGGAGUGGCAAGCGGAAUUCCUAGUGUAGCGGUGAAAUGCGUAGAUAUUAGGAGGAACACCAGUGGCGAAGGCGGCUUGCUGGACAGUAACUGACGUUGAGGUUCGAAAGCGUGGGGAGCAAACAGGAUUAGAUACCCGAGUAGUC